UUCUGUCCAAAAUUUUGAAGGAAGAGUGAAAAAGGUGUGUUAUUGCAAAAUUGCAUACUCUUUGUUUGGACUUUACUUGGAUUUGCAGCCUUAGCCUACCUUUUCAUUGCUAUCUCUCCCAACAAACAAGUUAUCUCGCUUAGGCAUUUGUGGUAAUCAACAGUACCAAAAUAUCCAUCACUUCAUUUCAAUUUUGUUAUCAUUUUUUAAUAAGAGAUAUUUUCAAAUUGUAGCAUAUCAUCUUAUAAAGUUGAAGAUUGUAUGCCGGAUAUAUUUUAACUGAUUAAAGGAGGUUGUGUGUGAAAAUUAGUAAUUAGUAAAUAAUAAGAGUGACUUUUCUCUUCCAAAUCUUUAGCAUAAGUUUAGUAUAGGUUAAUCAACUAAUGAAACAACUAUUAAAUAAUUAUAGGGGUCGAUGAUAAAAAUCUUUUAUAUAUUAAACGUAAUAAAAUACUCAAUUCAUCGCAACUCUUUAAAAUACUUAAUUCAUCCUAAAAUUAAUGUUUAAUAAUAAUUAAUUAUAAUUUAUAUUAUUACUACAAAAAAUUUAUAAUUGAUACUAAAUAAUUAUAAUGUGUGUAUAUAAUUUGAAAGUUAAUUAUAAUAUUGAUAUUUUUUCCCCUUUGAACCUCUCUUUCAAGGUACAUAUAUAGUAUAAAAAAAUUCAUAUAUAGUAUUAAUUAAGUAUAUAAUUGAUAAUAUUACUUAAUAAUAAAUUGUUUAAAAGAAUUCGAAUUUAAAUUUUAAUUAAAAUUAUUUUUAGUUAAAUUUUAUUUUUUCCAUCAAAUUUAGAAUUACUAAAAUAUUAAAAAAUAAAUGCAGUAUUCUAAAAAUGAAAAGGAAAGGAAGAAGAGAGGUAACCUUUUCUUUGUGGAAGGAAAAAGAAAUUAAAGAGAAAAACAAGUGGGGAGGGGAAAAAAAAGGACAGAUUCGAUAAAAUGCGGAUAAGAUGCAUAUCUUGUUAUGACAAAAAAGAAAACACACUCACAGUAGCAGCCACUUAAAGGUGGAUGUGGGGAGGAUCCACCCACCACUUGUAGCAUGUAAAAACGCAACUCCAUCUACCAUGUUUUAAAUCCUCAGGAAAUCGCAAAACUUCCAUCUAGUAAUUUCAGAAAUCGAUAUUUGGCAAUCAAAACUUCACCUCAAUCCUCUAUGGCUCGUCAGAUUGGUGUUGAUUGAAAAUAAAUAAAAAGAGAAAAUUAUGAUAAAUUGAGCUUUAAACAUUCAUAAUACUAGUAACUUUUUUACUUACCCUACAUCAAUUAAGUCACUAUUUUGAUAAUAUGAAACUUUUAUAAACUAAAAUUUACGAGAAAGAUUUAAUUGAUAUGAAUUAGGUAUUGAUUGAGAGAGUAUUUUUGAAAAAAGUCAUAAAUAUAAGUGAAAGAAAAAAAAAAGUCAUUUUCGAUUACCACUACUACAAUAAUUUUUUAGUCUUUUUUUCUUGUUUGUAAGUUUUGUG
This 1465-nucleotide long non-coding RNA is filed under the name Cicer arietinum (chickpea). RNAcentral describes it as "long non-coding RNA (CARI_LNC001788)". The record is from RNAcentral. Lineage: Eukaryota; Viridiplantae; Streptophyta; Magnoliopsida; Fabales; Fabaceae.